This is a long non-coding RNA of Syngnathus acus (greater pipefish), 755 nucleotides long. RefSeq lists it as uncharacterized. The transcript has 2 exons. The record is from RefSeq and is a predicted model, not a curated record. NCBI's taxonomy places the organism in Eukaryota, Metazoa, Chordata, Actinopteri, Syngnathiformes, Syngnathidae.
GUAGAGUGAGCUGAACUGAGCAGAAAGAUGUUCUCCGCUCUUAAGGCAUGUUCACAGAGGGGCUCCAAAGUGAUGAAAGGCUUCCAGCAGGAUCACAGGUCAAUCAUCCAGCACAAGCCACCUAAAGACAAGAUCGGGCCAGUGCAAUCUGUGUUGGCCAUCUGUGUGUUUGCUGCGGCUCUGCUGGCCCCAGCUGGAUGGAUCUUGCACCAUAUCCCACACUACCGGCAGAAAUCAUCUGCACCAUGAUUGACUGUGGAGCUUCUUGCCGUUCGACCCAGAAGGAUUUGGAUGAUAAAGUUUUGAUGAUUUCAUCCUUAAACAUAAAAUAAAAACUAAAUAAAACAAUGUGCAUUUGAAGCUUUUGUUCAAUUGUUGUUCUCAAAAAAUGCUACAAUACGUAAUGUUAAAACCCAAAGCUGAGUGAUUGUCUGUUUUUCUUCAGUCAUUCUUGGGCAAAACAUUUUUAAAUUUGUGUUUAGUAUUUGUAUUUUUCUGUAUGAAAUUAGUAUUUCUAAUUUACAAUCACAUCAUUGUUAAUCCCCAAAGAAACUGGAAUGGGUAUAAAAUCUGAAGGUAGAGCCAAACAUUACAAGAGCAACUUGAUAUCAAUAUGUCUAUUAAUGCAAUUGCUGCUUGCAGUGCAGUCAAAUUUCAUCACAUAAUGCUGAGAUAUUAAUGUUUUGGUUAACUCAUUUAGCUACAUGUCUAGUCAAAUCAACUUUGAGUAUAACGAAGGGCAGUUGUACACCACU